AGAGGAGGAUCAAGGAACUUCGGC
RNAcentral lists this non-coding RNA (24 nucleotides) under Arabidopsis thaliana (thale cress). The record is from RNAcentral. Lineage: Eukaryota; Viridiplantae; Streptophyta; Magnoliopsida; Brassicales; Brassicaceae.